RNAcentral lists this transfer RNA (74 nucleotides) under Lachnospiraceae bacterium. RNAcentral's name for it is "tRNA-Val". It matches the Rfam family "tRNA". Rfam says of the family: Transfer RNA (tRNA) molecules are approximately 80 nucleotides in length. Their secondary structure includes four short double-helical elements and three loops (D, anti-codon, and T loops). Further hydrogen bonds mediate the characteristic L-shaped molecular structure. tRNAs have two regions of fundamental functional importance: the anti-codon, which is responsible for specific mRNA codon recognition, and the 3' end, to which the tRNAs corresponding amino acid is attached (by aminoacyl-tRNA synthetases). tRNAs cope with the degeneracy of the genetic code in two manners: having more than one tRNA (with a specific anti-codon) for a particular amino acid; and 'wobble' base-pairing, i.e. permitting non-standard base-pairing at the 3rd anti-codon position. Lineage: Bacteria; Bacillati; Bacillota; Clostridia; Lachnospirales; Lachnospiraceae. The record is from RNAcentral.
GCGGUCAUAGCUCAGCUGGGAUGAGCGUCUGCUUGACGUGCAGGAGGUCACAGGUUCGAUCCCUGUUGGCCGCA